GCAUGCCUAACACAUGCAAGUCCUUCGGCAGCACAGCAGAGCUUGCUCUGUGGGUGGCGAGUGGCGGACGGGUGAGUAAUGCAUCGGGAUCUACCUCAACGUGGGGGAUAACGUAGGGAAACUUACGCUAAUACCGCAUACGUCCUAAGGGAGAAAGCGGGGGACCGUAAGGCCUCGCGCGGUGAGACGAACCGAUGUUCGAUUAGCUAGUUGGUAAGGUAAUGGCUUACCAAGGCGACGAUCGAUAGCUGGUCUGAGAGGAUGAUCAGCCACACUGGAACUGAGACACGGUCCAGACUCCUACGGGAGGCAGCAGUGGGGAAUAUUGGACAAUGGGCGCAAGCCUGAUCCAGCAAUGCCGCGUGUGUGAAGAAGGCCUUCGGGUUGUAAAGCACUUUUAUCAGGAACGAAAUACCACGGGUUAAUAACCUAUGGGGCUGACGGUACCUGAGGAAUAAGCACCGGCUAACUCCGUGCCAGCAGCCGCGGUAAUACGAAGGGUGCAAGCGUUAAUCGGAAUUACUGGGCGUAAAGGGUGCGUAGGCGGUUAGUUAAGUCUGUCGUGAAAUCCCCGGGCUCAACCUGGGAAUGGCGAUGGAUACUGGCUGGCUAGAGUGUGUCAGAGGAUGGUGGAAUUUCCGGUGUAGCGGUGAAAUGCGUAGAGAUCGGAAGGAACAUCAGUGGCGAAGGCGGCCAUCUGGGACAACACUGACGCUGAAGCACGAAAGCGUGGGGAGCAAACGGGGAUUAGAUACCCUGGUAGUCCACGCCCUAAACGAUGCGAACUGGAUGUUGGGUCUCAACUCGGAGAUCAGUGUCGAAGCUAACGCGUUAAGUUCGCCCGCCCUGGGGGAGUACGGUCGCAAGAACUG
This 872-nucleotide ribosomal RNA is filed under the name uncultured bacterium. RNAcentral's name for it is "bacterial SSU rRNA". It matches the Rfam family "Bacterial small subunit ribosomal RNA", at positions 42 to 897 of the family's 1533-position model. The record is from RNAcentral.